RNAcentral lists this long non-coding RNA (374 nucleotides) under Rhinopithecus roxellana (golden snub-nosed monkey). RNAcentral's name for it is "lncRNA (ENSRROG00000045916.1)". The record is from RNAcentral. Lineage: Eukaryota; Metazoa; Chordata; Mammalia; Primates; Cercopithecidae.
AUUGGAGACGGAUUGCUGAAGCCCACCCCCGAGCCACAACGCUAUUGGAAGAAGCGGGGAAGCUCUUCCUGUCUCAUUGGAGGACACCACAUAACCCGCCCCGCAGCGUCUCAGCCACAGGCCUAACAAGUUGGCUCCCGCCUCCGCCGGUCAUCGCAUUGGAAGGCUACCCCUGGCUCUCCCACCGCCCCAGUAAGCGGAAACGGCCAGGAACGAGCUCUGGCAGCAGGUGGGCCUGACUCCAAGGAUGGCUUCGAGCCGCGAAACCACAGCAGCGAAUUGCGAACUCCAAAGGUAGCUGACAGGUGGGAGCAGCCUCGCCAGUAGCCAAACCCUGCCCCAGGACAGAGGUCUAAAAGUAAGUCAGACCAACA